RNAcentral lists this long non-coding RNA (229 nucleotides) under Capsicum annuum. Its description in RNAcentral is "long non-coding RNA (CANN_LNC021378)". The record is from RNAcentral. Lineage: Eukaryota; Viridiplantae; Streptophyta; Magnoliopsida; Solanales; Solanaceae.
CCCACUUCCAAGUAGGAAUAGUGAACUCUUGCAUGGAACCACUUGGUUUCUGGUGCUCUAUCUUAACCUGCUGUCAUGUAGAGCACUUAGCCACAAACUCUACAAUAUCUCUCUUCAUCCGACUCCACCAAUAGAUCUUCUGCAUGUUGCGGUACAUUUUAGUGGCCCCUGGAUGAAUAGAGUAUCACACACCAUGCGCUUUUGCAAGUAUUCGCUACCUCAAUUCAUC